Molecule: unclassified non-coding RNA, 255 nt
Filed under: Hevea brasiliensis (rubber tree)
Lineage: Eukaryota; Viridiplantae; Streptophyta; Magnoliopsida; Malpighiales; Euphorbiaceae
Source: RNAcentral
UCUUCGUGUAAAUAAUUUUUUCAUUUCUUUUACAAAAAUAACAAUAUCUAAACUUUGAUAGUCUCUUUAUGCAUCAUAAAAUCCCAUGUCAUCACUUUGGAUUUGAAGAAAAUAUGUUGUUGCAUAUUUCUUAGGUAUAUAAGCCUCUAAAAUCCAAUAUCACUUGGAGUUAGCUCCUUUUGAAAAGUUAUUUGUAUGAGAAUUCAACAUUAUCUUAUAAGUAACAUUAAAAUCAUGAUUCCAGUGCUACUUAGG